GCUAAUGAGGGAAAUUGAUCAAGAUGAAGUUUCUCACAUCCGGGAAUUUUUCUUGUAUCUUUUCCGCUUUGCAUUUCUCAUUACACCCAUACAACGUUGGGGUGCCGGGCGUGUCGGCGUCGCACGCACAUAUGUAUCGCCUGAUAUAUUAUUUCAUGUUCGCUCGUGCCAACGAUACAUUCGCGCUUAUCGCGUUGAAGCCAUUCGUUUACAUACGAUACGACAAAAUUAUAAAAAGCAAAUUUUAUUCCAAUAGUCUAUUCAUCUGAGCGUCACGUUCGUUCAAGAAUGAAGUAGCACAGAUUCGAUGGAGGAUACAGUUCUGAUUUGUCGACUAAAUUGUGCGCAAUGUGAUCUGCUACACUUGCUUUAUGCAAUGCCAUCGUAAUUGGUCACUAUAAUCCGAGAAGGCUUCCUGGAAUUUGUAUAGAACUACUGGCUUCUCAAGAAACGAAUCUCCCGGAUGGCGCGUUGGCAGAACGUGAUUUUUCUGUCGUUAUUUAUUUGUCACGUACUGACAUGCUAUGUGUCAUUCAUUGUUAAUCAUUGUUAACGUCGUCAUUGUUAACUUUAAAGAAAUACAUUAAAUUACGAGGAGCAAUAAAUAUUCUGAGUAUAAUCUGUAGCCAAUUGACUGACUGAUUGCAUAUAAACAGGUAUUUUAAAACAAGAAUAUAUAAUUUUCAAAGAUUUUUACCAUUAAAAUAUAUUGUUGCAUGUAUGCGAAUAUAAUAAUCGUGAAUUAUGGUUUAUUUAGCGUAUAAUGGAGUUAUUUUUAAUUUAUCUUGACGAGAAUAAUAUCUACAUUAUGAAAAUGAUGCACGCACGUGGGCAUAAUAGUACUUGUGACGUUGCCUAAAAUAUUUCUCGACUUUUAAUUACAUCAUACAAGCAACAUCUCAAUAUAUAUAGCUUCACAAAAAUGCUUAGCUUAAUCAAUACCUGCAAUAGUUUUGCAAUAAGAGAUAAAACAGGUUACUCAAAAGAUGAUACGUAUUUUCUUCUGAAAUGAUGUAGAUUAUUGAAACCACACUUGAUAGCAUGUCUAAAUAGUAAAUACCGAUAAAAGAAUAUUUCUUAAAUGUAUAUUCUUAUUUCCUCGAACCCAUUGAACCAAUCUAGCCAAAAUCUUAUGUUUCACAUUAAUUAUCGAGCAUAAUUUGAGAAAAUGUUAUCUUAUUUUUAGAUAAAGCCCUUAUUAAACUCGUAAACUCGAUUAUAUCACUACUUCAGGUACAAACCGACAAACAACACUAAUAAACAUGCAUACAUAUUCGAUCGUUUGGAAGCCUGAUAGAAGACGGAAUAAAUAAGUGAAUGCAUAAUGCGAGUGACCCUUGAUUACUGAUCUUUCACCUAUCCUAACCAGGUGUAAAUUAUUCAUUAGACUCCUCCAAAAUGAAUCUGUGGAUUCACCAAGACGUCGACUUCCUUUGUUUCAAAGUUUCUUGUUGUGUAAUGCUUUCGUACAAUUGUAUAAUAAUCUUGUACUAGAGGACGUCGCUUUUCCGUAAAGCGACCAGUAAAGGAUCACAGUAACGAAUCGAAGCAGUUUGAAAAAUGGAGGAAAUUAUCACGAGUGGGAGAUAGUGACCGUCGCAGUACACAGAUGUACUUCGCGUCCAGAUGUACGUCGUGAUACGCACGCAUUACAUGCAUACACGCGCACACCGUGUGUGGGUCCACCUGAGUGAGCAGACGAGUGAGUGAGCACGGAGGAGAAGGUGUCUCACAUGGGUGCCUCUGUUCCCUGCAACACGAGUCCCACAGAUGGGGGAGACAUCCGGGCAGCUGACGUUCAAAUGAAACUGACUGACUGACUUCGGCUUAACCGACUCCACAUCCUCCUUCGAUUAAGGAGAACUACGUCCGGAGAGUCUGGAGAACGCGGGACGGGGGAUUUGUGCGCCAUCAAAUUAUUUCGUCGAUAUAUGCCCGACUAGGACUACUCUCCACCUUCAACAUACUUAAGUAUGCGGCUACGAUUCGCUUGCUAAAAUUACGAGUCAAUUGGAUAGAGGAUAUCUAAAUGCAUUCUAUGUCGUGGAUACAGUGUUCUGUUUUAAUUCAUGAUGAUUAUGAUCAAACUUCAGUUUUUGAGCAGACGAGAGCACAUGAUAAUCGAGUUGCUGAGUGAUGAAAGAUCAUCUUGCAUUUAUAUUUUCCCUGACGCUAGAAAUCCGAGCGAAUGUUUGUAAUACGAGAUGCUUCGCAGGUUGGCACUUGUGCGGUUGCUAUCGUCCAAUUAAUCACAACCAUGAUACAUGUGGAAACUAAAAUAUAUUGUAAGAGAUUUCAUACGUACUCGUAAGCAAUCUGUAAUAAAACGGAAUUAGGUGUA
This 2341-nucleotide long non-coding RNA is filed under the name Ooceraea biroi (clonal raider ant). RNAcentral's name for it is "uncharacterized LOC105282972, transcript variant X2". Lineage: Eukaryota; Metazoa; Arthropoda; Insecta; Hymenoptera; Formicidae. The record is from RNAcentral.